This 309-nucleotide long non-coding RNA is filed under the name Lotus japonicus. Its description in RNAcentral is "long non-coding RNA (LJAP_LNC002108)". Lineage: Eukaryota; Viridiplantae; Streptophyta; Magnoliopsida; Fabales; Fabaceae. The record is from RNAcentral.
GGUGAACCUAAUAUGCACCAAUUUUAGGUGGUGUAAUUUUACACCACCUACUUUGACUGGGUAUAGCAGGUCAACACAUUAUUUUUUUAAAGAAAAAAUAUCAUUAAAAAUUUGUUAUACAUUAAAUUUCUUUAAAAAAAGAUGUGUUGACCUAUUAUAGCAGGUUAAAAAAAGUGGUCUAAAAUUAGACCACUUUAAAAGUGGUCCACAUUAGGGGUCACCUAACAUUGACAAAGAGAUAAAUAGACCAAAAAAAAAAGAAGAAUAAAAUUAUCAUACGUUGCUCCUUCUCCUUCAACCCUAAUGACC